RNAcentral lists this ribosomal RNA (486 nucleotides) under uncultured bacterium. Its description in RNAcentral is "partial 16S ribosomal RNA". It matches the Rfam family "Bacterial small subunit ribosomal RNA", at positions 27 to 507 of the family's 1533-position model. The record is from RNAcentral.
GGGGGGGGGGGGGGGGGGGCGGGGGGGGGGCGGGGCGGGCGGCGGCGGGGGGGGUGGCGCCUGGUGGCGAGUGGCGGGCGGGUGAGGAAUACAUCGGGACAGGUCCUGUGGUGGGGGGUAGCCCGGCGAAAGCCGGAUGAAUACCGCAUCCGAUCUACGGCGGGAGGCGGGGGCCGUGGGGGCCGCGCGCGCGCGCGUGGGCAGAUGGCGGAGUAGCUAGUUGGUGGGGUAAAGGCCUACCAAGGCGACGAUCAGUAGCUGGUCUGAGAGGACGACCAGCCACACUGGGACUGAGACACGGCCCAGACUCCUACGGGAGGCAGCAGUGGGGAAUUUUGGACAAUGGGCGAAAGCCUGAUCCAGCAAUGCCGCGUGUGUGAAGAAGGCCUUCGGGUUGUAAAGCACUUUUGUCCGGAAAGAAAUCCUUGGCCCUAAUACGGUCGGGGGAUGACGGUACCGGAAGAAUAAGCACCGGCUAACUACGUG